AAUAAUACGAAGAAGCAAAGCAAGUAGUUAUAGAUUAAAUUCUUUACAGAGAUAAAAUAAAUAGCUGAGAUUAUUUUAAUGAAUACUAUAAUGAAUUUCAUUUGUGGAGUAUAAACGGGGUAAUUCCCUUAUCAAUUUAAAGUGUAUGAAUAAAGUUCAUGAACUAAGGUGGUACCGCGGGAAAUCUCGUCCUUAAU
This 197-nucleotide non-coding RNA is filed under the name Clostridium sp. RNAcentral's name for it is "T-box sequence". It matches the Rfam family "T-box leader". Rfam says of the family: Uncharged tRNA acts as the effector for transcription antitermination of genes in the T-box leader family. T-boxes are found upstream of many aminoacyl-tRNA synthetase genes and some amino acid biosynthetic genes usually in Gram-positive bacteria. Lineage: Bacteria; Bacillati; Bacillota; Clostridia; Eubacteriales; Clostridiaceae. The record is from RNAcentral.